RNAcentral lists this transfer RNA (61 nucleotides) under Limnogonus ignotus. RNAcentral's name for it is "tRNA-Leu". The record is from RNAcentral. Lineage: Eukaryota; Metazoa; Arthropoda; Insecta; Hemiptera; Gerridae. RNAcentral also lists the same sequence under 1 other name.
UAUGGCAGAAAUCAUGCAAUGAACUUAAGAUUCAUCUAUAAAGAAUAAUCUUUUAUUAGAA